AUUGAACGCUGGCGGCAUGCCUUACACAUGCAAGUCGAACGGCAGCAUGAUCUAGCUUGCUAGAUUGAUGGCGAGUGGCGAACGGGUGAGUAAUACAUCGGAACGUGCCCUGUAGUGGGGGAUAACUAGUCGAAAGAUUAGCUAAUACCGCAUACGACCUGAGGGUGAAAGUGGGGGACCGCAAGGCCUUAUGCUAUAGGAGCGGCCGAUGUCUGAUUAGCUAGUUGGUGAGGUAAAGGCUCACCAAGGCGACGAUCAGUAGCUGGUCUGAGAGGACGAUCAGCCACACUGGGACUGGGACACGGCCCAGACUCCUACGGGAGGCAGCAGUGGGGAAUUUUGGACAAGGGGCGAAAGCCUGAUCCAGCAAUGCCGCGUGUGUGAAGAAGGCCUUCGGGUUGUAAAGCACUUUGGUCCGGAAAGAAAUGGCUCUGGUUAAUGCCUGGGGUCGAUGACGGUACCGGAAGAAUAAGGACCGGCUAACUACGU
This 489-nucleotide ribosomal RNA is filed under the name uncultured bacterium. RNAcentral's name for it is "partial 16S ribosomal RNA". It matches the Rfam family "Bacterial small subunit ribosomal RNA", at positions 30 to 506 of the family's 1533-position model. The record is from RNAcentral.